RNAcentral lists this long non-coding RNA (363 nucleotides) under Capsicum annuum. Its description in RNAcentral is "long non-coding RNA (CANN_LNC006540)". Lineage: Eukaryota; Viridiplantae; Streptophyta; Magnoliopsida; Solanales; Solanaceae. The record is from RNAcentral.
UCACAUGAAAAUAUAGAUUUAUUUUAAUGGUAGCUAAGCAUUAAAAUAGUAAGCUCAAAAAAUUAAGAACAAUCCAUGUGAUAAUCCAAAAUUAAACUACAAUAACAAUAUCAAAAUAUAUUCAUAUUCUUAUCCUCAACCCCAGAACAAGGGCAAUUAACUACUAAUACUUGAAUUCAAUAUCAAAUACAAUUAAUUAACCAUACAUAAAAUAAAACUUACAAAGAAGAAGUGGAAAAGCAUGCCUAAAUAGAGAGAUUUAUGUGUAUAUCGAUAUGUACAUUGUUUGUUUUCUGUAUCGAAUGGUCUGGUAGCUCUCUUAUAUUGGUUUAUUUUCGUGUAUUUAUGCAUGGUACAGCAUAG